GUGACGUUGGCCGUUGUGAUUCCUACCUUAAGUCGAGCGAAUGGAUUAAGAGCUUGCUCUUAUGAAGUUAGCGGCGGACGGGUGAGUAACACGUGGGUAACCUGCCCAUAAGACUGGGAUAACUCCGGGAAACCGGGGCUAAUACCGGAUAACAUUUUGAACCGCAUGGUUCGAAAUUGAAAGGCGGCUUCGGCUGUCACUUAUGGAUGGACCCGCGUCGCAUUAGCUAGUUGGUGAGGUAACGGCUCACCAAGGCAACGAUGCGUAGCCGACCUGAGAGGGUGAUCGGCCACACUGGGACUGAGACACGGCCCAGACUCCUACGGGAGGCAGCAGUAGGGAAUCUUCCGCAAUGGACGAAAGUCUGACGGAGCAACGCCGCGUGAGUGAUGAAGGCUUUCGGGUCGUAAAACUCUGUUGUUAGGGAAGAACAAGUGCUAGUUGAAUAAGCUGGCACCUUGACGGUACCUAACCAGAAAGCCACGGCUAACUACGUGCCAGCAGCCGCGGUAAU
This 514-nucleotide ribosomal RNA is filed under the name Bacillus thuringiensis. Its description in RNAcentral is "bacterial SSU rRNA". It matches the Rfam family "Bacterial small subunit ribosomal RNA", at positions 32 to 524 of the family's 1533-position model. Lineage: Bacteria; Bacillati; Bacillota; Bacilli; Caryophanales; Bacillaceae. The record is from RNAcentral.